GACGAACGCUGGCGGCGUGCUUAACACAUGCAAGUCGAACGGAAAGGCCCUGCUUUUGUGGGGUGCUCGAGUGGCGAACGGGUGAGUAACACGUGAGUAACCUGCCCUUGACUUUGGGAUAACUUCAGGAAACUGGGGCUAAUACCGGAUAGGAGCUCCUGCUGCAUGGUGGGGGUUGGAAAGUUUCGGCGGUUGGGGAUGGACUCGCGGCUUAUCAGCUUGUUGGUGGGGUAGUGGCUUACCAAGGCUUUGACGGGUAGCCGGCCUGAGAGGGUGACCGGCGACAAUGGGACUGAGAUACGGCCCAGACUCCUACGGGAGGCAGCAGUGGGGAAUAUUGCACAAUGGGCGGAAGCCUGAUGCAGAAACGCCGCGUGCGGGAUGACGGCCUUCGGGUUGUAAACCGCUUUCGCCUGUGACGAAGCGUGAGUGACGGUAAUGGGUAAAGAAGCAACGGCUAACUACGUG
This 468-nucleotide ribosomal RNA is filed under the name uncultured bacterium. RNAcentral describes it as "partial 16S ribosomal RNA". It matches the Rfam family "Bacterial small subunit ribosomal RNA", at positions 28 to 507 of the family's 1533-position model. The record is from RNAcentral.